This 360-nucleotide ribosomal RNA is filed under the name uncultured organism. RNAcentral describes it as "bacterial SSU rRNA". It matches the Rfam family "Bacterial small subunit ribosomal RNA", at positions 527 to 887 of the family's 1533-position model. The record is from RNAcentral.
GAAGGGGGCUAGCGUUGCUCGGAAUUACUGGGCGUAAAGGGAGCGUAGGCGGACAUUUAAGUCAGGGGUGAAAUCCCAGAGCUCAACUCUGGAACUGCCUUUGAUACUGGGUGUCUUGAGUGUGAGAGAGGUAUGUGGAACUCCGAGUGUAGAGGUGAAAUUCGUAGAUAUUCGGAAGAACACCAGUGGCGAAGGCGACAUACUGGCUCAUUACUGACGCUGAGGCUCGAAAGCGUGGGGAGCAAACAGGAUUAGAUACCCUGGUAGUCCACGCCGUAAACGAUGAUUGCUAGUUGUCGGGAAGCUUGCUUUUCGGUGACGCAGCUAACGCAUUAAGCAAUCCGCCUGGGGAGUACGGUC